UUGCUUCUCUUGAGAGCGGCGGACGGGUGAGUAAUGCCUAGGAAUCUGCCUGGUAGUGGGGGAUAACGUCCGGAAACGGACGCUAAUACCGCAUACGUCCUACGGGAGAAAGCAGGGGACCUUCGGGCCUUGCGCUAUCAGAUGAGCCUAGGUCGGAUUAGCUAGUUGGUGGGGUAAUGGCUCACCAAGGCGACGAUCCGUAACUGGUCUGAGAGGAUGAUCAGUCACACUGGAACUGAGACACGGUCCAGACUCCUACGGGAGGCAGCAGUGGGGAAUAUUGGACAAUGGGCGAAAGCCUGAUCCAGCCAUGCCGCGUGUGUGAAGAAGGUCUUCGGAUUGUAAAGCACUUUAAGUUGGGAGGAAGGGCAGUAAAUUAAUACUUUGCUGUUUUGACGUUACCGACAGAAUAAGCACCGGCUAACUCUGUGCCAGCAGCCGCGGUAAUACAGAGGGUGCAAGCGUUAAUCGGAAUUACUGGGCGUAAAGCGCGCGUAGGUGGUUCGUUAAGUUGGAUGUGAAAUCCCCGGGCUCAACCUGGGAACUGCAUUCAAAACUGACGAGCUAGAGUAUGGUAGAGGGUGGUGGAAUUUCCUGUGUAGCGGUGAAAUGCGUAGAUAUAGGAAGG
RNAcentral lists this ribosomal RNA (628 nucleotides) under uncultured bacterium. Its description in RNAcentral is "bacterial SSU rRNA". It matches the Rfam family "Bacterial small subunit ribosomal RNA", at positions 80 to 704 of the family's 1533-position model. The record is from RNAcentral.